Molecule: small nucleolar RNA, 130 nt
Filed under: Carlito syrichta (Philippine tarsier)
Lineage: Eukaryota; Metazoa; Chordata; Mammalia; Primates; Tarsiidae
Description: Small nucleolar RNA SNORA31 (ENSTSYG00000024429.2)
Rfam family: Small nucleolar RNA SNORA31
About the family: ACA31 (SNORA31) belongs to the H/ACA class of snoRNAs which are thought to guide the sites of modification of uridines to pseudouridines. ACA31 is predicted to guide the pseudouridylation of U3713 in 28S rRNA and U218 in 18S rRNA.
Source: Rfam by way of RNAcentral
AUGCAUCUAUUUGACAGACCUAGAGCAGUUACUAUCUGCUUAUAAGGUUUUCACUAUAAAUGCAAGAAAAAAGCAUCCUCAUUCUUUUUGUCUGAUUGUGGCAGCUAAGACUGAAUGGGGGAAUAGAGGA